RNAcentral lists this ribosomal RNA (304 nucleotides) under uncultured bacterium. Its description in RNAcentral is "partial 16S ribosomal RNA". It matches the Rfam family "Bacterial small subunit ribosomal RNA", at positions 1 to 307 of the family's 1533-position model. The record is from RNAcentral.
GCCCUUGAGUUUGAUCCUGGCUCAGGAUGAACGCUAGCUACAGGCUUAACACAUGCAAGUCGAGGGGUAGCAGGGUAGCAAUACCGCUGACGACCGGCGCACGGGUGAGUAACACGUAUCCAACCUACCAUUCACACGGGGAUAGCCUUUCGAAAGAAAGAUUAAUACCCGAUAGUAUAGCGAUAAGGCAUCUUAUUGCUAUUAAAGAAUUUCGGUGUUUGAUGGGGAUGCGUUCCAUUAGAUUGUUGGUGAGGUAACGGCUCACCAAGUCUUCGAUGGAUAGGGGUUCUGAGAGGAAGGUCCC